RNAcentral lists this long non-coding RNA (1234 nucleotides) under Sus scrofa (pig). RNAcentral describes it as "lncRNA (ENSSSCG00015060958.1)". The record is from RNAcentral. Lineage: Eukaryota; Metazoa; Chordata; Mammalia; Artiodactyla; Suidae.
UCUUUGUAAAAACCAAGUUAGAUUGGGUCCAAAAACCAAGUUAGGUUGAGCCUCGCUAAGAGCAUUAGGUGCAAUUUGUUCUAGAAAAUAAUGUUUUCAUUUCUGCCAGACUUCUCAAUUGAUUUUAACGCAGACUCAUACAUGGUGAUUGAAAGCAUUAGUGUUACUACAGGAGGUUAGCAGAAUUAUUUCUAUUUAGAACAGAGAUGAGAAGGAUGAAGGUGAUAAUGUCAAAAGUGAAUAAGUGGGUUUUUUUUUUUUUUAAUCAAAAGUUAUACAUAGAUUGGGUGUUCCCAUUGUGGCUCAGCAGAAAUGAACCCAACCAGUAUCCAUGGGGAUGCGGGUUCCAUUCCCUAGCCUUGCUCUGUGGGUUAAGGAUCUGGAGAUGCUGUGAGCUGUGGUGUAGCUCACAGACUCGCCUUGGAUCCUGCAUUGUUGUGGCGUAGGCUGGCACCUGCAGCUCCAGUUUGACCCAUAGGCUGGGAACUUCCAUACCCCCUGGUGGGGCCCUAAAAAAAGCAAAAAAAAAAAAACAAAAUUACCCGUCCCUCACUGCAUCCAGUAACCUGAGCCAACCAGAAACUUUUGGUAUCCUCUAAUGUGGGGAGGAAGAGGAGGCGGCUGCGAUGGUGAGGUUUUUCAAAGGAACCUCAACCUUACUUUGACCCUCAGCUUGCUCAUAGACUUAAGGCAGUUCUUAGAUGAAAAGGUUGUUCUUGAGUCUCCAGUGACCCAGCAGGUUAAGGAGACAGCAUUGUCAUUGCUGUGUCUGUGGUCACUGCUGUGGCACAGGUUCCAUCCCUUGCCAGGGAACUUCUGCCCCAGAGGCCAAGAAGGACCCCGCCACUUUGGAAAUGCCCCCUCCCCAGCCUCAGGUUCAGGCUCUCUUCCGGUCCCGCCCCCCCAGGUAUCGGGCCUGGGUAGGCCAAUCCCCACCCACUUCCGGCGGCACCACCAAUCACCACCGCUCAGUGCGCGCUGCCCACAGGGGCCUGCCUCUCAGAGAUGCUCCAGGUGUGAGUCUUGCGCUAGAGCCUGAAGACCCCCGACAGCCGAGGCCUGAGAGGGCGGAGCCCUGCGCCCCAGGUGAGCCGGAGCCGGAAGGAAGGGCGGGGUCCGGGUGGGGGGCUUUCUUAGUGGCUGCUUCCUGGGCCACUCCUGGAGCCAGACGUCAGGGUCUCCUCAGAAAAGUCACAGGUCAAGUCGAAUCUUGAGAGCUGGGAAGCUACCAGAG